This 1510-nucleotide ribosomal RNA is filed under the name Lactobacillus crispatus. RNAcentral describes it as "bacterial SSU rRNA". It matches the Rfam family "Bacterial small subunit ribosomal RNA". The record is from RNAcentral. Lineage: Bacteria; Bacillati; Bacillota; Bacilli; Lactobacillales; Lactobacillaceae.
AACGCCUGGCGGCGUGCCUAAUACAUGCAAGUCGAGCGAGCGGAACUAACAGAUUUACUUCGGUAAUGACGUUAGGAAAGCGAGCGGCGGAUGGGUGAGUAACACGUGGGGAACCUGCCCCAUAGUCUGGGAUACCACUUGGAAACAGGUGCUAAUACCGGAUAAGAAAGCAGAUCGCAUGAUCAGCUUUUAAAAGGCGGCGUAAGCUGUCGCUAUGGGAUGGCCCCGCGGUGCAUUAGCUAGUUGGUAAGGUAAAGGCUUACCAAGGCGAUGAUGCAUAGCCGAGUUGAGAGACUGAUCGGCCACAUUGGGACUGAGACACGGGCCAAACUCCUACGGGAGGCAGCAGUAGGGAAUCUUCCACAAUGGACGCAAGUCUGAUGGAGCAACGCCGCGUGAGUGAAGAAGGUUUUCGGAUCGUAAAGCUCUGUUGUUGGUGAAGAAGGAUAGAGGUAGUAACUGGCCUUUAUUUGACGGUAAUCAACCAGAAAGUCACGGCUAACUACGUGCCAGCAGCCGCGGUAAUACGUAGGUGGCAAGCGUUGUCCGGAUUUAUUGGGCGUAAAGCGAGCGCAGGCGGAAGAAUAAGUCUGAUGUGAAAGCCCUCGGCUUAACCGAGGAACUGCAUCGGAAACUGUUUUUCUUGAGUGCAGAAGAGGAGAGUGGAACUCCAUGUGUAGCGGUGGAAUGCGUAGAUAUAUGGAAGAACACCAGUGGCGAAGGCGGCUCUCUGGUCUGCAACUGACGCUGAGGCUCGAAAGCAUGGGUAGCGAACAGGAUUAGAUACCCUGGUAGUCCAUGCCGUAAACGAUGAGUGCUAAGUGUUGGGAGGUUUCCGCCUCUCAGUGCUGCAGCUAACGCAUUAAGCACUCCGCCUGGGGAGUACGACCGCAAGGUUGAAACUCAAAGGAAUUGACGGGGGCCCGCACAAGCGGUGGAGCAUGUGGUUUAAUUCGAAGCAACGCGAAGAACCUUACCAAGUCUUGACAUCUAGUGCCAUUUGUAGAGAUACAAAGUUCCCUUCGGGGACGCUAAGACAGGUGGUGCAUGGCUGUCGUCAGCUCGUGUCGUGAGAUGUUGGGUUAAGUCCCGCAACGAGCGCAACCCUUGUUAUUAGUUGCCAGCAUUAAGUUGGGCACUCUAAUGAGACUGCCGGUGACAAACCGGAGGAAGGUGGGGAUGACGUCAAGUCAUCAUGCCCCUUAUGACCUGGGCUACACACGUGCUACAAUGGGCAGUACAACGAGAAGCGAGCCUGCGAAGGCAAGCGAAUCUCUGAAAGCUGUUCUCAGUUCGGACUGCAGUCUGCAACUCGACUGCACGAAGCUGGAAUCGCUAGUAAUCGCGGAUCAGCACGCCGCGGUGAAUACGUUCCCGGGCCUUGUACACACCGCCCGUCACACCAUGGGAGUCUGCAAUGCCCAAAGCCGGUGGCCUAACUUUCGGGAAGGAGCUGUCUAAGGCAGGGCAGAUGACUGGGGUGAAGUCGUAACAAGGAGCGUAGGAGAAC